GAUUGUUGUUCCGUUUGCCAGCUGAUCGAUCGACGUUAGCAAGGCGGUAUUCGUGCAUUAUCCAAUUCGUUUUCACCCCUCGCGGAGCUUUCCCCGCGUAAAACACCAAUGCCUUCUUGAUUCCAACCGCUUUCGGUUUUCCGAUAGGUUUAUCGGCACCGGUAGCCUUCCAAUAACCAGUUCCGGCAGCUCUGUUCGGUCGUGAUCCGUUUGGAUAUUUCCUGUCUCUAGGUGAGAAGAAGUACCACUCCUUUUCUCCAUAUAACGCCAUAUCUGAAGCUGCCAUGGAUCGAACUUAUAAAGAUCAAUUUCAGCAAUAAUCGGAACAGCAAUACUCUGAGACGCACAUUUCCGGCACAAGUAAUGCAUAACCAGCUCAUCAUCCGUCGGAUGAAACCGGAACCCCGGCGGCAACUCCAAACCGCCACACGUCAUCACAAAACCUCAAAUCAAACUCCAAAUCCGUACGGUUAAUCUCCAAAUCCAGAUCUCGUUCUUCCUCACAAACAAAGCUAGGGUUUCCGGCAGUGUUAGAAAGAAGAAGAUCCAGAAGUAUAUAUAACAACAACAGAAAGAGUGAAGGUCGCACGUGUAGGAUUGGUUCGAGGAAGGAGCAGGAGAGAGAAUGGUGCAGUUGCUUGGAGAAGAAGGCUGGCUGGCUGAUUAUGGCGGUUAUUGACUUGUGAUAAAAGGUGAAGGGGCGAAUGAGGAGGUGACACGUGGGGAGGAUGGUGUCACUGCGUUCGUCAUGUGGUUUGGACGGUUGUGGUGAUGGAGAUUAGAGGAGGAAUAGGUGCUACUUUGACCGGUGUCUCAUCAACUGAGGAGGGUGCAUUCGAAAACAAGUGGAUGAGGAGAUGA
This 861-nucleotide long non-coding RNA is filed under the name Helianthus annuus (common sunflower). Its description in RNAcentral is "hypothetical non coding rna". Lineage: Eukaryota; Viridiplantae; Streptophyta; Magnoliopsida; Asterales; Asteraceae. The record is from RNAcentral.